Molecule: unclassified non-coding RNA, 330 nt
Filed under: Hevea brasiliensis (rubber tree)
Lineage: Eukaryota; Viridiplantae; Streptophyta; Magnoliopsida; Malpighiales; Euphorbiaceae
Source: RNAcentral
CGUCUGAAUUUGGCGAAAUAUCUGCUGAUUCAUUUUUGGGGGGAAAUGAUGAUGAUGUUCAAUGAGAUGGGAUUUUGUGAUGAUAUGGAUUUCCUUUCUGCUCCAAUUGUGGAAGGAGAUUCUGGAGCUCCACCAACUGAUCCUGAAGUCGUGGUGGAAGAUGAUUAUUCUGAUGAAGAGAUCGAUGUCGAUGAGCUCGAGAGGAGGAUGUGGAGGGACAAGAUGCGUCUCAAACGCCUUAAAGAGCAAAGCAAGGUUAAGGAAGGGAUUGAUAUUGUGAAGCAGCGACAGUCUCAAGACCAGGCUAGGAGGAAGAAGAUGUCGAGGGCA